Molecule: ribosomal RNA, 233 nt
Filed under: uncultured bacterium
Lineage: Bacteria
Description: partial 16S ribosomal RNA
Rfam family: Bacterial small subunit ribosomal RNA
Source: RNAcentral
CGGGACGGGUGAGUAAUGUCUGGGAAACUGCCCGAUGGAGGGGGAUAACUACUGGAAACGGUAGCUAAUACCGCAUAAUGUCUGCGGACCAAAGCGGGGGACCUCCGGGCCUCGCGCCAUCAGAUGAACCCAUAUGGGAUUAGCUAGUAGGUGAGGUAACGGCUUACCUAGGCGACGAUCCCUAGCUGGUCUGAGAGGAUGACCAGCCACACUGGAACUGAGACACGGUCCAG